Pelodiscus sinensis (Chinese soft-shelled turtle) is the source of this 1869-nucleotide non-coding RNA. The record is from RefSeq and is a predicted model, not a curated record. Lineage: Eukaryota; Metazoa; Chordata; Testudines; Trionychidae.
GCUGGGGAUGGAGGCAUUUCACCAACUGGCUUGGAGUGCAUGUCACUAUAGGCCUUGCCCUCCAGCCCGGCCUACGCACCCCUUGCCUCUCAGCAUGUGCUUGACCGAUUUUAGAAUAUCUCAUCAUUCGCUUUAAGAGUGAGAAAGAAAGGCAAAUGAAAGGAUUAGCCCUGGAAGGGAUAAUGCUGGUUUCCAUUAAUCUCAGUGAUUCUACAUAUGGUGUAAGCCAGCUCCAGUGCAUCACCACUAUUGCUGCAGCAGGAAGUUUUUGCUCUAAAAUCCCAAAUGAUCAGAUCUGGAAAGAAAUGGACGGGAUGCUGGCUGAGCUCUCUGUGCCCUGGACCAGGCCUCUGAUGGAAGGUGGAUGUAGCCACGAACUCCUGGAUUCUGCCUCACUUCAGCUCACCUUCAAGCUCCAUGAAAGACCUGGGGUUCUGAUGAUGGACUGUCUGGCAGUAAAACAGUUCAUACACAAGACCAGCAUGGUGCACCCAAAGAUCAGAUUCCAUUACUGCGUGAACAUGAAUGGCAUUAUGUCUGCAGAGACGUACUGUGGAGAUAAAAGAGAGAGUACAUGUGUACUGAAUGGAAUAAAGCUCCUUACUGACCGGAGACACUAUAUAAGGGUUGUGGAUAGCUUGGUGUCCUGUGGUUCUAACUUUCUUUGUGACAAAAUCCAUCCUGUGCUGGGCAGGACUGUCAACCUCCUGAUUCCCCACGAAGUGGCUGAAACUGGCUUCACUGGGGAGCUGGAAUUCAUACCGGCUGCAGCGCUGUGCCCCUGCCUGAAGCUGUUUCCCAACCAGCCUGCUAAGAUAGCUGCUGUCUCCAUAUUUUUCUAUGACCCCACAGGGCUGCCCAUAUCAUUCUAUGGAAAGGGGAAAUCAUCUUUGUUCUUCAGUGACCCAUCAAACUUAGCAGAAUGGGAGAAAUACAACUAUAGCGCAACACUGGACUCCGAUCCAGGACAGGAAGAAGAUCAAGUGAGCCCAGACGUCAGAUAUAAACUUCACUGGGACCGUGGAAGCCAAGAAGAUGAUCCAGACACUUGGGAACAGACCCUGUUGCUCUUCCUCUUUCUCCACUACUCGGACCAGUUUCAAGAUAAGCCCUCUUAUGAUUUCUGGGCACGGCGCAUGAUUGCAUCCCAUCUGGAUCAGAUUCUCCUGUGCAGCCAGCAGGCAGUGAAGUGUGGAGCCCAGGCUGUCAUUGAUACAGUACUAGAAGAGCACUGCAAGAGAAGAAAGCUUCACCACAUAUCCUGCAGCCAGACUCCUGUGAACUGUGCUCCCAGGAGAUUUUGCCAACACAGCAGCGUGGGAUUUAAAUGUCUGCACAAAACUUCAGGUUCCACAAGAAGUGGGGUGGGUGACUCAGGAGCCGCUCCUCCUGAGUCAGUGAGAGCUGUUGCACUCAGUAAGAGGUGCUGUCCUUUUGGGAUUAGUCCCAAUCCCAGUUCUCUAGGGCUGGGCAGGGGAAUGCUGUAGAUGACACCAUGUAAAAGAGACCUGAACCCACUAGAUGGCAGGGUUUUCCUAGAUGUCAGGCUGAUCCCCUUAGGAGCUGAGCAAAUUCCAGUAAGACCAUCCCAUUCUGCCCCCCUUAGCUUCCUCACCACCACAGAAUUCACCUUGGUUUUCUGCCCCGUCCCUUGAUGGCCAGAUGGAGGAGUGUUGAUGGGAAUGGAAAUAUGCAGUAAAAUUCCCUUGGCCCUCCCCAGAACCAGCAGAGGUUGAAGCUGUCCCUGCCCGUCAUACUAGGUGCCAUUUCCAACGUGGUGUCCAGCAGCACUAACAGCCAAUUCAGAAGGGAAUGUCUGCAGAGUCUGCAGGUUGCAGAUACUUCAGAGCUAAUGGCAGCCAUUCAAAC